UGGGGAAUAUUGGACAAUGGGGGCAACCCUGAUCCAGCAAUACCGCGUGUGUGAAGAAGGCCUGAGGGUUGUAAAGCACUUUCAGUGGGGAGGAGGGAUGCUAGGUUAAGAGCUAAGUAUCUGGACGUUACCUACAGAAGAAGCACCGGCUAACUCCGUGCCAGCAGCCGCGGUAAUACGGAGGGUGCAAGCGUUAAUCGGAAUUACUGGGCGUAAAGGGUUCGUAGGUGGUUUAUUAAGUUAACUGUGAAAUCCCUGGGCUUAACCUGGGGCGGUCAGUUAAGACUGAUAGACUUGAGUAUAGGAGAGGGUAGUGGAAUUUCCGGUGUAGCGGUGAAAUGCGUAGAGAUCGGAAGGAACACCAGUGGCGAAGGCGGCUACCUGGCCUGAUACUGACACUGAGGAACGAAAGCGUGGGGAGCAAACA
This 427-nucleotide ribosomal RNA is filed under the name uncultured Legionella sp. RNAcentral's name for it is "bacterial SSU rRNA". It matches the Rfam family "Bacterial small subunit ribosomal RNA", at positions 355 to 774 of the family's 1533-position model. The record is from RNAcentral. Lineage: Bacteria; Pseudomonadati; Pseudomonadota; Gammaproteobacteria; Legionellales; Legionellaceae.